GCGUGAGGACUUCGGCGCGCGCCGGAAGCACGUGCGCGGGCUGGGCGCUCUGGCGGUGUGCGCUGAGGCUCCUGAGUAUAACAGAUUGGUUCUGAUUAAAACCAUUUCAGAGGAAAGACAGUGAUCCCAGGAAGCGGGAAGAAAACAGCAUCACCUGAAGUUAUUCCUAUUCGUUAGAUUUGUUUUCUUCCUGCGAAAAACUGCUAUGUACAAGAAAGAAGUCAGUGAGCUGCAGUGAUAGUUAGCAUUAUUGACUGAAACUGGACCAGAGAUCCCUGAAACCUGGACAAGGUGGUAGAAAUACAAAUUAUGCUGCCAUUUCAAAGCUGUGGGCAGUUUUCUACUUUGUGGAAAAUGAAGACUUAGGUAGGCCUUUGGGAAAGACGAUUUGUUUUGGAAAAACCACCCAAAGGGAUCAUUUGGUUUGCAAAUGUAACUGCAGUAUCACAACUGGAAGAAGAAAUAUACAAGGGCGAGGUUUGAAGGAGCCCUUCAGUAUCCUUGGAUGAUACUGUGGAAGAUUCUUUGCAUCUCAGUAACUUUGGAUCUUUGAAGAUCCAAGAAAAUAAAUUUCUUCAAAAUAUUUUUAGAGACUGCUUUGAUUCUGAGGCACUGCUGAUUAUAUGGAAGAAAAAAAUAUUGGAAGAUUAAUUUGUGGUUUUCUCCAGUUAUCGUCUCCCUUCUCUUUGGGGGAGGUUUGUGACGCAGUAAAAACAGAUAUACAAAAGCCUAGGCAUGUUAGAGAUUUGCCUAAGGGAAAUGUAAUUAUGAAGAAGGAUUUUUUCAAGCUGAAACUAGAUCCCACUUUUUUCCAGGUCAGUGGGUCCUUCAAGUAUCUGGUACUUUCCUUCCUGCUUCCUGACAAUGUUAAAGAAUGUGGCAUGACCUUACAUUUAAUGCCCAACGUGAGGAGCCCUGGGGCUUGAUGCAUGAGAUUCUUGGAGCUAGGCCUGGUGGAGGGCACUGGUCACAGCCUCGGUGGAAUGGUGACUUUCUUUGGUAACUGGAAUUGAAGAAAAUGAGUGGACUUGUGUCUGAGCACUUGGGAACUCAGCAAUCCCUGGGUGUUACCUUGAGAAGGAGCCAAAUUCCAGACAUACAAGUGGAGACUUGAAAAUGGAAGCUCAAUUCCACACCCAGGCUGGUGGAGACUAUGACAUAUAACUCACAUCUUCAAGAAAGUAGACACCUCAGAGGUCACUGGGCCACUUUACCUUCCACUGUCAAAACUAUGUCCAUGAUCAGAUACCUCUGUUGCUAGGGAAUAUUCAGUCAGAAUGGGCUAGAUUAACUGCAGUAAUGCAGAUCUCUCAACCCAUUUAUGACUUACGCAGCAAAGUUCCUCGCUCAGACUACCUGUCCACUCCCACGAGCAGAGACUUGCUCAUGGGCCCUCCUAGACCCAGGCUGACCGAGUGUGUUUUAUCUAAAUGCAUCUCCACAAUCACUCAGGUAGGAGUGGCUAUGCAUUAGGACUGAUUGUGCAUUAGUUAGAGAAGCACUUACCAGGAAUUGCUAUAAGAACUUCUAUUUACAUUUCAUGGGCCAAAGCAAGUCAUGUGGCAACACUUAAUUUCAAAGAGGACAGGAAAUGCAAUAUUGUUAUGUCCCUGAAAGAAAGGAGAAGAGAAAGUCUAUGGAAAGACAUUAUGACUACCACUGGAAUUUUCACCUGUCCAGGCAGCUCAUCGUGCUUUUAUUUGAAACAAUUUUAUUGAAGUAUAGGCAUAACUGCACAUACGUAUGUAUUUAUUUUAUUUUAUUUUUUGAGAUGUAGUCUUGCUUUGUUGCACAGGCUGGAAUGCAGUGGCGUGAUCUCAGCUCACUAUGACCUCUGCCUCCCGGGUUCAAGUGAUUCUCCUGCCUCAGACUUCUGAGUAGCUGGGAUUACAGCCACGCGCCACCACACCUGGCUAAUUUUUGUAUUUUUAGUAGUUGGAUGGGAGAC
This 1948-nucleotide long non-coding RNA is filed under the name Homo sapiens (human). Its description in RNAcentral is "HSALNT0298852". Lineage: Eukaryota; Metazoa; Chordata; Mammalia; Primates; Hominidae. The record is from RNAcentral.